UUUGCGCAGUGGCAGUAUCGUAGCCAAUGAGGUUUAACCGAGGCGCGAUUAUUGCUAAUUGAAAACUUUUCCCAAUACCCCGCCAUGACGACUUGAAAUAUAGUCGGCAUUGGCAAUUUUUGACAGUCUCUACGGAGACUGGAUUUUUGAGUUCGAAAAGAAAAAGAGAAGGGGUUUCAGGAGUUUCCAGUGUUUUGGAGUCUCAAGGAAUGUAACUUCAGCUUUUGAAAAGCUAAGGGAAGGGCGGAAGGAAGCUGGACUAACUGACAAGUAAGGAGAGCUCUUACCCAGGGUGUUUGCUUAUCAUUCCUCAUCUCUACUCUCCACUCUCUGCAAUGGGCAGACUUUCUCAUAUCCUCUCUGCCCCCUGAAUCCUACUAGAUAAUUGCAGUUUAUUCUCCCAUGUCCUUCUUCAAUCACUCCUAAACGUCCUCGUCUCUGUCUCACCACUGGACCCUGAUGGCUGCGGAGGAGAAAGUAAGGCUGGCGACUUUGCACAGCCGUCACUCACACUCGCAUGUGGUAUCACCUGCCUGAUGUCAUGGUACUCUUCGAGAUGGGACGAACAACUCCAAAACGUCCUCCAUCUGUCCUAACUACUGCUCACUUACUUCCUGCCCAGCAGCCAACUCAACGCUCAACUCUCGGCACGAGUUAAGUAAGCCUUCUAAACUCAAGCGGCGCGGGCAGGUCUAUAGCGUCACCCUCAUUUGCAUAGGAAUCCCCAGAAUCCUCGGCGCCUGUUUGCCUGGUUUUCCCUGAAAUUCUAUUUUCAUGGACGUUUGUCCAUCUGCAAGUGACCAGAAAGUCCUUGAACCUGUAGGGUUAAAGUUCGGCUGGACCCAAAAAAAGAGCCGGCAGGAGCCAUUCAAUAUCAGUCCGCUUCUUACCCUCGUUGUGAAGAUAGUCUCCAGCCAUGGGGGACUGGAGCCCAGGCCGGAUCUCGUUAGCUUUGCGCAGUGGCAGUAUCGUAGCCAAUGAGGUUUAUCCGAGGCGCGAUUAUUGCUAAUUGAAAACUUUUCCCAAUACCCCGCCAUGACGACUUGAAAUAUAGUCGGCAUUGGCAAUUUUUGACAGUCUCUACGGAGACUGAGUUAUUUUCGUUUUUAAAGGAAAUGUGUUUGGAUACUUGCUUGUUGUAGUGCCGCUCUAGUUUUUUAACUGCACUUCAUUUUAGCGUUGGAGUAGUUACAUGAUAGCGGAAAAACAAGGUAAGAAAAGCAGUUACACAGCUUUUGUGAAGUGCAAGAGCUCAUCGUGUGUGGCGUUUUUUUUAUUUUAGGUAGGCUGUUAGCGCCACCUUCUGGCAGCCAUAAUUAUGUGUCUGUGUGAGGAGCUGGAGUUGAGGGCUUUGGGGCUUUGUGGAAGGAGGAGGUACCUGAAUUGAGGUCGGAAAGUUUUAGCCUCGAAGGCUGGUUACCUGGGUAACCUUGCAUGAGUUCCGGCUCUGGGCCUUUGUUUCCUCAACUGUAAAAAAGUAGCUGGAAUCAAUGACAUCGGAGAUAUCUGAGUCCUAGGUGAACCAUGUGUGUCCCAGCCUAAAAGUUUCCAAAUGCAGGCUGGAGGCAAACCUCAGAAUCCACUCCAACCAAUUAGCUGCUUUCUGGAGAGCAUUCUGUCCAAUCCCUUCAAUUUCACAGAGAAGGAAAUUGACAAAGCACAAGGGAUUUUGGAAUCAUUCAUUUAAUGCCAACCUGGAGGAUUCCCAGAGGAUUCCCAGAGUCCCUGGCCCUCAUCCCUCUCCGUGGCACCCUCCUAUCUGUUUCUUAAAGGAAUAACAAGACUUACAGAAUUAAGUACAGUUUAUGAGUGACUGGGGUGGGGGAGGGAGGUCCCGACAGGUAAACCCCUCCUUCCUCCAUUAACAAGGAGUGAGAGUUCUUGAAUGAAUCAGUCCGCAUUUAUUUAGCAUCUAUUAAGUUUCAGUCACAAAGACAUAAAUAAACUAAUUUUUGACCUCGAGAAUUCUAUCUCAUCUGGAGAAGCACUAUAUUCUUGUAUAUGUGAGAUACCUACCAAGAAGAUGGAAGAGAGGAAGACUAGUUCUGGGGAGACAGGAAAGGCUUCCGGCAAAAAAGAGAUGAAGGAGAAUUCGUAAGAUCACAGAUGGAGAGCUGAAAGGGACCUCAGAAGGCAACCAGUCCAAUCUCCUGAUUUUACAGAUGAAGAAACUGAGGCCCAG
Vombatus ursinus (common wombat) is the source of this 2182-nucleotide long non-coding RNA. RefSeq lists it as uncharacterized. The record is from RefSeq and is a predicted model, not a curated record. The transcript has 3 exons. Lineage: Eukaryota; Metazoa; Chordata; Mammalia; Diprotodontia; Vombatidae.